AAAAAUCGAGGGGAAGAAGAGAGGGCUUGGAGGCAGCAUGUGGGGAGAGGUCAACCUCUAAAGUGCCAGCUCUCCAGAAAUGCAGCCGGACUGAAGGCUUUAUUUGAGGAGCCUGGCAGUCCUAUAAGGGGAAACCCACCUAUUACUUCAAGCAAAGCUGAUGCAGAGAGAUGAGCCAAUUGAGCAGGAGACAAUGUAAGCAGCUGUGGGGGUGUCGAGUACUCCCUCCUGCCUGUGGGAGCUGCACCGUGGAGUCUAGCUUGUCACCCUCUGGAGGCAGAGCCCCUCCUCCCUGCCUCCUCUUGGUCUAGAUGGACAGCCAUGGCAGCGGAGGCUGCAGAGCUGAGCAGGUGAUACUGGGCAGCGACCCUGCUGCGGGCAGGGUCCACACCCCACAGCUCUUUACUGCAUUUAUUUAACAAGCGACAUUGAGCCAGCAAUCUCUGCUGAAAAGUGCUCAGCCCUGGAGAGAGAACUGUGAACAACGUGGACACAGCUCCUGCUUUGUGGAGCUUGGUGUCUGGCUGGGGUAAAAAUAAACAAGCAGUUACAACAC
This 556-nucleotide non-coding RNA is filed under the name Pan troglodytes (chimpanzee). The record is from RNAcentral. Lineage: Eukaryota; Metazoa; Chordata; Mammalia; Primates; Hominidae.